This 446-nucleotide unclassified non-coding RNA is filed under the name Hevea brasiliensis (rubber tree). The record is from RNAcentral. Lineage: Eukaryota; Viridiplantae; Streptophyta; Magnoliopsida; Malpighiales; Euphorbiaceae.
GUUCAAUCAAGCCAAAAAACAAAUCCCCUGAUGGUUCAUACUCCUAAGGCAUAAAGCAGUGCAACGGAAGCUCCUACAGUGAUUGUCCAGAGAUAUAUGGUUUGAGACAAAGUAUUAGCACCACUGCAUUGGUCAUUAGAACCACUGAAGCAUCCAGGUCUACUUACCUUAGGCUCAACUCCACCUGUGGAAAAGCUACUCUUUGGUUUGCCAUUACUGAAGAGUACACACCAGAAAUAGGGGCCACCACCACCGGAGCCACUCACAGCAGCACCAACCUCAGUGUGAUUCUUGCUAUAGAGAAUAUCCAAACUCUUGGUAUUUCUUAUAAGAAUAUCAUUGAAUGCUUCAGAAGGUUCCGCAUACUUAGAUUGACAUGCGAGAAAUCUUCCAGUUAUUUGAGCAAGCGAUGAUGCCUGCACACCACAGUUGGGGGCAAAUUCUUG